Molecule: ribosomal RNA, 443 nt
Filed under: uncultured bacterium
Lineage: Bacteria
Description: bacterial SSU rRNA
Rfam family: Bacterial small subunit ribosomal RNA
Source: RNAcentral
GCUAACUUGCCGACGACCGGCGCGACGGGUGAGUAACGCGUAUCCAACCUUCCCCUUAGUAGGGCACAGCCCGUAGAAAUGCGGAUUAAUACCCUAUGUUAUUCGUCGAGGACAUCUGGAGUGAAUCAAAGGUUUACCGCUAAGGGAUGGGGAUGCGUCUGAUUAGGCAGCAGGCGGGGUAACGGCCCACCUGGCCGACGAUCAGUAGGGGUUCUGAGAGGAAGGUCCCCCACAUUGGAACUGAGACACGGUCCAAACUCCUACGGGAGGCAGCAGUGAGGAAUAUUGGUCAAUGGUCGAGAGACUGAACCAGCCAAGUAGCCGUGCAGGAUGACGGCCCUAUGGGUUGUAAACUGCUUUUAUGCGGGGAUAAAGUGAGGGACGUGUCCCUUUUUGUAGGUACCGCAUGAAUAAGGACCGGCUAAUUCCGUGCCAGCCGCUGC